RNAcentral lists this ribosomal RNA (777 nucleotides) under uncultured Neocallimastigales. RNAcentral describes it as "partial large subunit ribosomal RNA". It matches the Rfam family "Eukaryotic large subunit ribosomal RNA", at positions 26 to 625 of the family's 3401-position model. The record is from RNAcentral. Lineage: Eukaryota; Fungi; Neocallimastigomycota; Neocallimastigomycetes; Neocallimastigales.
CGCAUCUGUGCAUGCAGCAUAUCAAUAAGCGGAGGAAAAGAAACUAACAAGGAUUCCCUUAGUAACGGCGAGUGAAGCGGGAAGAGCUCAAAUUUGAAAUCUUCAAGGUUUUACCUUGACGAAUUGUAGUUUAAAGAAGUGUUUUCUGCUGAAGUUUUGGUAAAAGUUCUUUGGAAUAGGACAUCAUAGAGGGUGAGAAUCCCGUAUUUGACCAUUUACUUUCAGCUUUGUGAUACACUUUCAAAGAGUCGGAUUGUUUGGGAAUGCAGUCCAAAAUGGGUGGUAAAUUUCAUCUAAAGCUAAAUAUUGGCGAGAGACCGAUAGCGAACAAGUACCGUGAGGGAAAGAUGAAAAGAACUUUGAAAAGAGAGUUAAACAGUACGUGAAAUUGUCAAAAGGGAAGCGUUUGACACCAGUGUUGUUUUCUCGAAAAUCAAUUAAAAAUGGCUCGAUUUUGUAUUGCUGAGACCUUAAAAGCUCACUGUACAUUUUUCGUGUCUUUUUUAAUGCACUUUUCGUUUAACAAGUCAACAUCAGUUUCUUUUGUUGUAAAAGGGUCAUUGGAAGGUGGCUUUCUUUUCGGAGAAAGUGUUUAUAGCCUUUGGCCUCUGCAAUCGGAAUGAGACUGAGGUCUGCAGCGUAGACUCUUCGGGGUUAGAUACAUUUGUGCUAAGUUAUAGCUUUUUAUAGACAACUUGUUGACUAUAAUUAGUCUUGUAGCUUACUCGCUUAUGCUAUUUUACCUACGCUUAGGAUGUUGAUAGUCACAGCGUGUAC